ACGACGCUGGCGGCGCGCCUAACACAUGCAAGUCGAACGAGUGGCGUUCCUUACGGGAACAAAGCUAGUGGCGGACGGGUGAGUAACACGUGAGGAACCUGCCUUUCAGAGUGGAUACCGUUGGAAACGAACGUUAAUACCGCAUAAUGUACAAUUGUCGCAUGGCAUAUGUACCAAAGAUUUAUCGCUGAGAGAUGGCCUCGCGUCUGAUUAGAUAGUUGGUGAGGUAACGGCCCACCAAGUCUGCGAUCAGUAGCCGGACUGAGAGGUUGAUCGGCCACAUUGGAACUGAGACACGGUCCAGACUCCUACGGGAGGCAGCAGUGAGGAAUAUUGGUCAAUGGUCGGAAGACUGAACCAGCCAAGUAGCGUGAAGGAUGAAGGUUCUAUGGAUUGUAAACUUCUUUUGUAUGGGAAUAAAGCCCGCUACGUGUAGCGGUUUGUAUGUACCAUACGAAUAAGCAUCGGCUAACUCCGUG
RNAcentral lists this ribosomal RNA (479 nucleotides) under uncultured bacterium. RNAcentral describes it as "bacterial SSU rRNA". It matches the Rfam family "Bacterial small subunit ribosomal RNA", at positions 32 to 507 of the family's 1533-position model. The record is from RNAcentral.